RNAcentral lists this ribosomal RNA (442 nucleotides) under uncultured bacterium. Its description in RNAcentral is "partial 16S ribosomal RNA". It matches the Rfam family "Bacterial small subunit ribosomal RNA", at positions 338 to 795 of the family's 1533-position model. The record is from RNAcentral.
CCUACGGGCGGCAGCAGUGGGGGAUAUUGCACAAUGGGGGAAACUCUGAUGCAGCGACGCCGCGUGGGCGAAGAAGUAUUUCGGUAUGUAAAGCUCUAUUAGUAGGGAAGAAGAAACAACGGUACCUGAGUAAGUAGCACCGGCUAAAUACGUGCCAGCAGCCGCGGUAAUACGGAGGGUGCAAGCGCUAUCCGGAUUUACUGGGUGUAAAGGGAGCGCAGGCGGCAGGGUAAGCCUGAUGUGAAAGCCCGCGGCCCAACCGCGGAACUGCAUUGGGAACUACCGGGCUGGAGUGCCGGAGCGGUAGGCGGAAUGCAUGGUGUAGCGGUGAAAUGCGUAGAGAUUAGGAGGAACACCAGUGGCGAAGGCGGCCUACUGGACGGUGUCUGACGCUGAGGCACGAAAGCGUGGGGAGCAAACAGGAUUAGAUACCCCUGUAGUC